This 1301-nucleotide ribosomal RNA is filed under the name metagenome. RNAcentral describes it as "bacterial LSU rRNA". It matches the Rfam family "Bacterial large subunit ribosomal RNA", at positions 1635 to 2925 of the family's 2925-position model. The record is from RNAcentral.
CACACGACCGUACCGCAAACCGACACUGGUGCGCGAGAUGAGUAUUCUAAGGCGCUUGAGAGAACUCGGGAGAAGGAACUCGGCAAAUUGACACCGUAACUUCGUAAGAAGGUGUGCCUUUAGUAGGUGAAGGGAUUUACUCCUGGAGCCCAAUGAGGUUGCAAAAAAUCGGUGGCUGCGACUGUUUAUCAAAAACACAGCACUCUGCAAACACGAAUGUGGACGUAUAGGGUGUGACGCCUGCCCGGUGCUGGAAGAUUAAAUGAUGGGGUGCAAGCUCUUGAUUGAAGUCCCAGUAAACGGCGGCCGUAACGAUAACGGUCCUAAGGUAGCGAAAUUCCUUGUCGGGUAAGUUCCGACCUGCACGAAUGGCGUAACGAUGGCCACACUGUCUCCUCCCGAGACUCAGCGAAGUUGAAAUGUUUGUGAUGAUGCAAUCUCCCCGCGGAAAGACGGAAAGACCCCAUGAACCUUUACUGUAGCUUUGUAUUGGACUUUGAACAGAUCUGUGUAGGAUAGGUGGGAGGCUUUGAAGCGGUGCCGCUAGGUAUCGUGGAGCCAACGUUGAAAUACCACCCUGGUGUGUUUGAGGUUCUAACCUUGGUCCAUUAUCUGGAUCGGGGACAGUGCAUGGUAGGCAGUUUGACUGGGGCGGUCUCCUCCCAAAGCGUAACGGAGGAGUUCGAAGGUACGCUAGUUACGGUCGGACAUCGUGACGAUAGUGCAAUGGCAUAAGCGUGCUUAACCGCGAGACUGACAAGUCGAGCAGAUGCGAAAGCAGGACAUAGUGAUCCGGUGGUUCUGUAUGGAAGGGCCAUCGCUCAACGGAUAAAAGGUACUCUGGGGAUAACAGGCUGAUACCGCCCAAGAGUUCAUAUCGACGGCGGUGUUUGGCACCUCGAUGUCGGCUCAUCUCAUCCUGGGGCUGUAGCCGGUCCCAAGGGUAUGGCUGUUCGCCAUUUAAAGAGGUACGUGAGCUGGGUUUAAAACGUCGUGAGACAGUUUGGUCCCUAUCUUCCGUGGGCGCUGCAGAUUUGAGGAAGCCUGCUCCUAGUACGAGAGGACCGGAGUGGACACACCUCUGGUGUAUCGGUUGUCACGCCAGUGGCAUUGCCGAGUAGCUAAGUGUGGAAAAGAUAACCGCUGAAAGCAUCUAAGCGGGAAACUCGUUUCAAGAUGAGAUCUGCCGGGGCCUUGAGCCCCCUAAAGAGUCGUUCAAGACCAGGACGUUGAUAGGUCAGGUGUGGAAGCGCAGUAAUGCGUUAAGCUAACUGAUACUAAUUGCUCGUGCGGCUUGACCU